CCCGCCCGCGGGACCCCCUUGUCCCCCAAGUCUGGUCAACUUGGCCGGCGGCGGCCGCCGCCCAGGGGUCGCCCCAGCCCCAGCGCCGUGCUUUGUCCGUUCCUGGUUGCGGCGGACCGCCCUAGUGCAGGGCGUCUUCACCGGAGCCCCUGCCGGAGCCCCUGCCGGAGCCCUGGCACCCGGUGUGUCACCGCCGCCGCGGGGCGAGUCUCCGCGUCCCACACCCCUAAGUCCUCCCCUGCUCUCCCUGGGUGAGGGCGCCCCGUCCUGGUUCCUCGAGCCCGCCCGAGUAAGGUGCACCUUUCCGGGGCGCCCGGAGGGAGGCGGGUAGGGCGGUAGGCUCCUAGCCCGGCCGCCCCGUCGGGGGCGCAGGCUUUGGCUCUCUGGCCGGGCAAGGACGUAUGGCUGGCUUUUCUUAUCUUUCUUGGGUUGGAAGGAUAAUGGUUUAUGUCAUAAUUCCUCCCCCCCCCCCAUUUGUGAGUCAGAGCUUUCAGAAGGUAGAACUGAACGCGCAGCCCAUGCGGAGUGGCCUAUUGAAGGAAGCCCAGUCCUCUGGGUUUUAGAGAUUUAGGCCCCCUCCCGCCUUUCGAUCCCCAAAUUUUAUUGUGUUGGGCGGUUCUGGGGGACGUGAGGUAAAGAUUUAGCAACAAGUCCCAGCGAUUUGGGGCUUGGAAGUGGCCAGGAAGAAUCGGCGACUUACGAAAAACGCCAACAAUACGUGUUUUGAAUUUUAUUACUUGAGCUGAAAUAUUCUAAAGAUGUAACCACUCUCUUUUUUGCACACUGCUUAAGAUGAGAAGAAAUCAUUUAUAUGGAAACUAGAAUAGCUGAUAUUCCAGACUAAGAGCCAAAAAAAUGUGUGUCAGAGUCAGCUAGCAAACACCAGGAAAGCGGCUGUGAAGGAAGAUUGAAAUUUAAAUUCAUAUUAGCCUCUUGAGCCAAUAUUUUUGUGCAUGGCCCAUUGUACUUUUCUAUUUGCCUUGAGUUGGCACUGGACAUUGAAUAAACCUUGAAGACAUAAAUGAAAAUGCGUAUGAGUAUGGAAAUGUGUAAGGAUAUGGAAGUGUCCUUGGUGCAAUAAAGCGCAUAAUGCA
Molecule: long non-coding RNA, 1094 nt
Organism: Gorilla gorilla gorilla (western lowland gorilla)
Lineage: Eukaryota; Metazoa; Chordata; Mammalia; Primates; Hominidae
Exons: 3
Source: RefSeq, a predicted model, not a curated record